GGAACCGGGAGAGGUAAGAGGUACUACAGGGGUAGGAGUGAAAUCUUGUAAUCCCUGUGGGACCACCUGUGGCGAAGGCGUCUUACCAGAACGGGUUCGACGGUGAGGACGAAAGCUGGGGGCACGAACCGGAUUAGAUACCCGGGUAGUCCCAGCCGUAAACGAUGCUCGCUAGGUGUCAGGCAUGGCGCGACCCGUGUCUGGUGCCGCAGGGAAGCCGUGAAGCGAGCCACCUGGGAAGUACGGCCGCAAGGCUGAACUUAAAGGAAUUGGCGGGGGAGCACAACAACGGGUGGAGCCUGCGGUUUAAUUGGACUCAACGCCGGACAACUCACCGGGGGCGACAGCAAUAUGUAGGCCAAGCUGAAGACUUUGCCUGAAUCGCUGAGAGAGGUGGUGCAUGG
This 404-nucleotide ribosomal RNA is filed under the name uncultured archaeon. Its description in RNAcentral is "bacterial SSU rRNA". It matches the Rfam family "Archaeal small subunit ribosomal RNA", at positions 595 to 997 of the family's 1478-position model. The record is from RNAcentral.